Molecule: transfer RNA, 74 nt
Filed under: Didymosphenia geminata (rock snot)
Lineage: Eukaryota; Bacillariophyta; Bacillariophyceae; Cymbellales; Cymbellaceae
Description: tRNA-Ile
Rfam family: tRNA
About the family: Transfer RNA (tRNA) molecules are approximately 80 nucleotides in length. Their secondary structure includes four short double-helical elements and three loops (D, anti-codon, and T loops). Further hydrogen bonds mediate the characteristic L-shaped molecular structure. tRNAs have two regions of fundamental functional importance: the anti-codon, which is responsible for specific mRNA codon recognition, and the 3' end, to which the tRNAs corresponding amino acid is attached (by aminoacyl-tRNA synthetases). tRNAs cope with the degeneracy of the genetic code in two manners: having more than one tRNA (with a specific anti-codon) for a particular amino acid; and 'wobble' base-pairing, i.e. permitting non-standard base-pairing at the 3rd anti-codon position.
Source: RNAcentral
AAUGAAAUAGUUCAGUUGGUUAGAACUUUGAGAUUAUAAUCCAAAUGUCAGGUGUUCAAGUUCCUUUUUCAUUA